This 397-nucleotide ribosomal RNA is filed under the name uncultured bacterium. RNAcentral describes it as "partial 16S ribosomal RNA". It matches the Rfam family "Bacterial small subunit ribosomal RNA", at positions 523 to 918 of the family's 1533-position model. The record is from RNAcentral.
AUACGUAGGGGGCGAGCGUUGUCCGGAAUGAUUGGGCGUAAAGGGCGCGUAGGCGGCCCGGUAAGUCUGGAGUGAAAGUCCUGUUUUUAAGAUGGGAAUUGCUUUGGAUACUGUCGGGCUUGAGUGCAGGAGAGGUAAGUGGAAUUCCCAGUGUAGCGGUGAAAUGCGUAGAGAUUGGGAGGAACACCAGUGGCGAAGGCGACUUACUGGACUGUAACUGACGCUGAGGCGCGAAAGUGUGGGGAGCAAACAGGAUUAGAUACCCUGGUAGUCCACACUGUAAACGAUGAAUGCUAGGUGUAGGGGGUAUCGACCCCUUCUGUGCCGCAGUCAACACAAUAAGCAUUCCGCCUGGGGAGUGCGGCCGCAAGGUUGAAACUCAAAGGAAUUGACGGGG